GUUCUGUGAUGAAUAGAAAACAGACAAGCAUAUGGCUGAGUGUCCCUGAUGCCAGCUUCCUUCUGAGAAC
Small nucleolar RNA from Alligator mississippiensis (American alligator), 70 nucleotides. It matches the Rfam family "Small nucleolar RNA SNORD27". From Rfam's summary of the family: U27 is a member of the C/D class of snoRNA which contain the C (UGAUGA) and D (CUGA) box motifs. U27 is encoded within the U22 snoRNA host gene (UHG) in mammals and is thought to act as a 2'-O-ribose methylation guide for ribosomal RNA. The record is from Rfam. Lineage: Eukaryota; Metazoa; Chordata; Crocodylia; Alligatoridae.